This 253-nucleotide ribosomal RNA is filed under the name uncultured bacterium. Its description in RNAcentral is "partial 16S ribosomal RNA". It matches the Rfam family "Bacterial small subunit ribosomal RNA", at positions 524 to 776 of the family's 1533-position model. The record is from RNAcentral.
UACGAAGGGGGCUAGCGUUGCUCGGAAUCACUGGGCGUAAAGGGUGCGUAGGCGGGUCUUUAAGUCAGGGGGGAAAUCCUGGAGCUCAACUCCAGAACUGCCUUUGAUACUGAGGAUCUUGAGUUCGGGAGAGGUGAGUGGAACUGCGAGUGUAGAGGUGAAAUUCGUAGAUAUUCGCAAGAACACCAGUGGCGAAGGCGGCUCACUGGCCCGAUACUGACGCUGAGGCACGAAAGCGUGGGGAGCAAACCGG